This 784-nucleotide ribosomal RNA is filed under the name Salmonella enterica subsp. enterica serovar Lubbock. Its description in RNAcentral is "partial 23S ribosomal RNA". It matches the Rfam family "Bacterial large subunit ribosomal RNA", at positions 1 to 816 of the family's 2925-position model. Lineage: Bacteria; Pseudomonadati; Pseudomonadota; Gammaproteobacteria; Enterobacterales; Enterobacteriaceae. The record is from RNAcentral.
GGGUUGUGAGGUUAAGCGACUAAGCGUACACGGUGGAUGCCCUGGCAGUCAGAGGCGAUGAAGGACGUGCUAAUCUGCGAUAAGCGCCGGUAAGGUGAUAUGAACCGUUAUAACCGGCGAUUUCCGAAUGGGGAAACCCAGUGUGACUCGUCACACUAUCAUUAACUGAAUCCAUAGGUUAAUGAGGCGAACCGGGGGAACUGAAACAUCUAAGUACCCCGAGGAAAAGAAAUCAACCGAGAUUCCCCCAGUAGCGGCGAGCGAACGGGGAGGAGCCCAGAGCCUGAAUCAGCAUGUGUGUUAGUGGAAGCGUCUGGAAAGGCGCGCGAUACAGGGUGACAGCCCCGUACACAAAAGCGCAUGUGCUGUGAGCUCGAUGAGUAGGGCGGGACACGUGGUAUCCUGUCUGAAUAUGGGGGGACCAUCCUCCAAGGCUAAAUACUCCUGACUGACCGAUAGUGAACCAGUACCGUGAGGGAAAGGCGAAAAGAACCCCGGCGAGGGGAGUGAAAAAGAACCUGAAACCGUGUACGUACAAGCAGUGGGAGCACAGGUUUACCUGUGUGACUGCGUACCUUUUGUAUAAUGGGUCAGCGACUUAUAUUCUGUAGCAAGGUUAACCGAAUAGGGGAGCCGGAGGGAAACCGAGUCUUAACCGGGCGUUAAGUUGCAGGGUAUAGACCCGAAACCCGGUGAUCUAGCCAUGGGCAGGUUGAAGGUUGGGUAACACUAACUGGAGGACCGAACCGACUAAUGUUGAAAAAUUAGCGGAUGACCUGUGGCU